RNAcentral lists this long non-coding RNA (7129 nucleotides) under Homo sapiens (human). RNAcentral describes it as "HSALNT0176883". Lineage: Eukaryota; Metazoa; Chordata; Mammalia; Primates; Hominidae. The record is from RNAcentral.
UUGCCUCCAGAGACAACAGUCCAUCUACGACCUCAAGUAUGCCCACUACAAGACUGUCUCCCACCUGGAAAGUCUUUGGCCACUUUUACAACCCAUGAAGAUGCCAGCAGUUACCAACGUGACUGCCCAGUAGAUAAGGCACCAAAGGGAGUCAGCAGAUCCCGCACCUGCUUGCUUCCUCUCCCACAUUAAAAGAGCCCGCUUUCUGCUCCAAAGCCAAAGUACUGCCCUUAAGGCAGGAAGCCUGUACUUCUUCCCCUAAGUUAGCUUUGGAAUAAAAAGUCUCUUUCUUUAUACCAGACCUUACUCUCAUUAACUGGACUCUGCAAGCAGCAAGCAACUGAACCUGCAUUUCAGUUACAAUUUUGGUGACCCAUAUGGGGAAGUGCUGCCCGCCCUAGGUGAGUCUGAGCUGGAUAGCCUAGUUAUGCUCCUGGGUGAGGCAUGGGGUCACCUGUGAGUGCCAGCCGCUCAUAGCUAGCGACAGGAACAUCAUGGAACUUCCCGGCAGCUGCCAAAAAUGCUUUUGUUUUUGGAAGAGUCUUCCUUUCACCUCCCAGCAUGACAUCUGCCACCUUCAGUGUUUCACUGGUACAAAGCAAGUGACCUCUGAAGAAGACAGCAAACUUUGGAACUGGAACAAGAACAAUGAUGAAAUGCUGACUUUGAGACUGUUAUUUAGAGCUAAACUCACAAGAGAGGUCAAAUUAGUUCCAAAAUGGAUCCAGUGCUCCCAUACCUCCUCACCCUACCAGUCCUAAUGGCAGAAGAUGGAGCAGAAGCGGAAACAAGCCCUCUGUGGAAGGAAGCGUUCCCAAGGUGAACCCACAGAACUGUUAUUUGACCUCACAACCACCCACCAAACCCAUGAAGGGUCUCACAUUGUUACCCAGGGUCAAGCAAUCCUCCCACCUCCACCCCCCAACUAGCUGGGACUACAGAUGUGUGACACCACACGCAGCUAAGUUUAGUAUUUUUUGUAGGCCACCAGACUCAGCUAAUGUUUCAAAUUUUUUGUGGAGAUGAGGUCUCAGUAUGUUGUCCAGGUUAAUCCUCCUGCCUUGGCCUCCCAAAGUGCUGGGAUUAUAGGCAUGUGCCACCACACCCAGCCAGUGUUAUUUUCUUAGUUUUGUUUGUUUUGUUUUGUUACUGUCAGUGAAACCUUCUUUAAUCAAGCCCAAUAUUUGGCUGGGCAUGGUGGCUCACGUCUGUAAUCCCAACACUUUGGGAGGCCGAGGCGGGCGGGUCACUUGAGGUCAGGAGUUUCAGACCAGUCUGGCCACCAUGGUGAAACUUCAUCUCUACUAAAAAAUACAAAAAUUAGCUGGGCGUGGUGGCAUAUGCCUACAGUCCUGGCUACUUGGAAGGGUGAGGCAGGAGAAUCGCUUGAACCUGGGAGGCGGAGGUUGCAGUGAGCCGAGACUGCACCACCGCACUCCAGCCUGGGUGACAGAGCGAGACUCUGUCUCAAAAAAAAAGAAACCCCGUCUGUACUAAAAAUACAAAAAAUCAGCCAGGCAUGGUGGCGCAUGCCUGUAAUCCCAGCUACUCGGGAGGCUGAGGCAGGAGAAUCGCUUGAACUCGGAGGCAGAUGUUGCAGUGAGCAAAGAUCGUGCCAUUGCACUCCAGCCUGGGCAACAAGAGUGAAACUCCAUCUCAAAAAAAAAAAAAAAAAAUGGCCGGGCAUGGUGGCUCACGCCUGUAAUCACAACACUUUGGGAAGCCGAGGCGGGCGGAUCAUGAGGCCAGGAGAUGGACACCAUCCUGGCUAACGCAGUGAAACCCCAUCUCUACUAAAAAUACAAAAAAUUAGCCGGGUGUGGUGGCAUGUGCCUGUACUCCCAGCUACUCGGGAGGCUGAGGCAGGCAGAAGAAUCACUUGAACCUAGGAGGCGGAGGUUGCAGUGAGCGGAGAUUGCGCCACUGCACUCCAGCAUAAGCAACAGAGCGAGACUGUCUUAAAAAAUAAAAAUUAAAAUAAAAAGUGUGAGCCACUGCACCUGGCCAAUGUCUAAUUUAUUUAAUUAAAACAAAAGUGAAUCUGCAAAAUUCAGCUACAAGUCUAUGUAGAUCAUGAGUGUUAAGAUAAAGACUGUCAACCUGAGGCCAGGCUCAGUGGCUUACACCUGUAAUUCCAGCACUUUGGAAGGCCAAGGCCCAUGGAUCACUUGAGGUCAGGAGUUACAGACCAGCCUGGCCAACAUGGCGAAACCCCAUCUCUACUAAAAAUACAAAGAUCAGCCAGGCAUGGUGGCAGGCACCUGUAAUCACAGCUACUCAGGAGGCUGAGGCAUAAGAAUCACUUGAACCCAGAAGGCAGAGGUUGCAGUGAGCUGAGAUCGAGCCACUGCACUCCAGCCUGGGGGACAGAGUGAGACUCCGUCUCAAAAAGAAAAAAAAAUUCAGGAGAUGGAGGUCACUAUGUCUCCCAGGCUGGUCUUGAACUCCUGGCUUCAAGCAAUCUCCCACCUCAGCCUCCCAAAGCACUGGCAUUACAAGUGUGAGGCACCAUGCCCAGCCAGCCAAUGGGCCUGAUUAUUUGAAAGGACUAACGUUUCAGAUAACGUUUCUAUUCUCAAAGCCAAACUGUUUUUUAAAGUCCCUUUUGCUGUAGGGAUGUGAGUAGAGCAGUUAAGAUAGUGUCUUACAUUAAGACUUUAUUGAGUCAAAUAUAUAUGUUCAAUAUUAUCGUAAUAUAGUAAGACCAUAUUGAACAUAUUAAGGUAUUUGGGCUGGGCGCGGUGGUUCAUGCCUGUAAUGCCAGCACUUUGGGAGGCCGAGGCGGGCGGAUCACCUGAGGUUGGGAGUUCGAGACCAGCCUAACCAGCAUGGAGAAACCCCGUCUCUACUAAAAAUACACAAUUAGCCAGGUGUGGUGGCGCAUGCCUGUAAUCCCAACUACUUGGGAGGCUGAGGCAGGAGAAUCACUUGAACCCAGGAGGCAGAGGUUGCGGUGAGCCAAGAUUGCGCCAUUGCACUCCAGCCUGGACAACAAGAGCGAAACUCCGUGUCAAAAAUAAAUAAAUAAAUAAAUAAAUAAUAAAAUAAAAUAAACAAGGCAUUUGGCAAAAUCCAGUAAUCACAAUCAAAACUCUCAGCAAACUAGAGCUAGAAAGGAAUUCCUCAGCCUAUUAAAGGCAUAUAUGAAACACCUGCAAUUAACAUCUUAAUGAGGAACAAGAACGCUUUUCUUAUAAGAUCUGGAAAAGACAAGAAUGUCCACUGUUACCACUUCUUUUCAAACUUGUACUAGAAGUUCUAACCAAUGGAGUAGUUUUGUUUUGGGUUUUUUUGUUUGUUUGUUUGUUUGUUUUUGAGACAGAGUUUUGCUCUUUCGCCUAGGCUGGAGUGCCGUGGCGUGAUCUUGGCUCACUGCAACCUCCGCCUUCCGGUUUCAAGCAAUUCUCCUGCCUCAGCCUCCUGAGUAGCUGGGAUUACAGACACCUGCCACCAUGCCCAGCUAAUUUUUGUAUUUUUAGUAGAGACAAGGUUUCACUAUGUUGGCCAGGCUGGUCUCAAACUCCUGACCUUGUGAUCCACCCGCGCCUCGGCCUCCCAAAGUGCUGGGAUUACAGGCAUGAGCCAUUGCAUCCAGCUUGUUUUGUUUUUAAAAGAGAAUUAAAAGGCAUUCAGAUUGGAAAGGAAAAGGUAAAGCUGCUUUUAUUUACAGACAACACGAUCAUCUAUGUAGAAAAUCCUAAGGAUUUACAAAAAAUGGAGGUACAAGAACUAAUAUGUGAGUUCAGCAAGGUUGUAUGUCUCAAAAAAAAAAGAUACAUGGAUAAGAAAUAACAUGUGAAAAGAUUCUCAAAAAAACCCUCAAAUCUCUGACAAUAAAAAGAGUAAGAACAAAUCAAUACUCUAAUGAAUGAAAGGGAAAUGUAAUCACAGACAUAGCAGAUUUGUUGUUGUUGUUGUUAUUUUUUGAGAUGGAGUCUCACUCUGUCGCCCAGGCUGGAGUGCAGUGGUGUCGUCUCAGCUCACUGCAAACUCCGACUCACAGGUUUAAGUGAUUCUCGUGCCUCAGACUCUGGAGUACCUGGGAUUAGAGGUGCGCACCACCUUGCCCGGCUAAUUUUUGUAUUUUUAGUGGAGACGGGGUUUUGUGGUAUUGGCCAGGCUGGUCUUGAACUCCUGAUCUCAGGUGAUCUGCCUGCCUCAUCCUCCCAAAGUGCUAGGAUUACAGGCGUGAGCCACCACACCCGGCCAGAUGGGGUGUGUGUGUGUGUGUGUGUGUGUGUGUGUGUGUGUGUUGGGUUUUGUUUGUUUGUUUGUUUGUUUUUUUGAGACAGGGUCUCACUCUGUUACCUAGGCUGGAGUGGCACAAUCAUAACUCACUGCAGCCUUGACUUCCUUGGCCCAAGUGAUCUUCCCACUUCAGCUUCCUGAGUAGCUGGGACCACAGGUAUGCACCACCACACCCAGCUAAUUAUUAUUAUUAUUAUUAUUUUGAGAUGGAGUCUUGCUCUGUAGCCCAGGCUGGAGUGCAAUGGCAUGAUCUCGGCUCACCACAACCUCCGCCUCCCAGCUUCAAGUGAUUCUCCUGCCUGAGCCUCCCGAGUAGCUGGGAUUAUAAACAUGCGCCACCACGCCCGGGUAAUUUUGUAUUUUUAGUAGAGAUGGGGUUUCUCCACGUUGGUCAGGCUGGUCUCGAACUCCUGGCCUCAAGCGAUCCUCCCACCUCGGCCUCUCAAAGUCCUGGGAUUACAGGUGUGAGCCACCAUGUCUAGCUGAAGAUGCUAAAAACAUAUGAGAACUGUCCUUAACACAAAUAAAUUUGAAAACCUAGUGCCCUGCUGAAACCUAAACCCCAAGGUGAUCAGAAGUGGGAGGUGAUUAGGUCCUGAGAGUGCGAUUAGUGCCCUUAUAUUAAUAGAAGAUACUUUUGCCCCUUCUACCGCUUGAGGACACAGUAAAAAGGCACCAUAUUGGCCGGGCACAGUGGCUCACGCCUGUAAUCCUAACACUUUGGGAGGCCAAAGAGGGCGGAUUACCUAAAUUUGGGAGUUCGAGACCAGCCUGACCAACAUGGAGAAACCCUGUCUCUACUAAAAGCACAAAAUUAGCUGGAGGUGGUGGCACAUGCCUGAAUCCCAGCUACUCAGGAAGCUUUGGCAGGAGAAUUGCUUGAACCCGGGAGGCAGAGGUUGAAGUGAGCCGAGAUCGCACCAUUGCACUCCAGCCUGGGCAAUAAGAGUGAAACUCUGUCUCAAAACAAACAAACAAGAAAAAAAGAAAACAAAAAUAGCCGGCUGUGGUGGUGGGCGCCUGUAAUCCCAGCUACUCGGGAGCCUGAGACAGGGAGAAUUGCUUGAACCCAGGAAGCAGAAGUUGCAGUAAGCCGAGAUCGAGCCACUGCACUCCAGCCUGAGCGACACAGCAAGACUCCGUCUUGUGGGGGAAAAAAAAAGAAGGCAUCAUAUUUGAAGCAGAGAACAAGCCCUCACCAGACACUGAACCUGCUGGCACCUUGACUUGGACUUCCCAGCCUCUGGAAAGCAAGCAAUAAAUUUGUUGUUUGUUAAUUACCUAAUCUAAGGUAUUUUGUUAUAGCAGCCGGAAUGGUAAUAUUCCAUUGACUCAAGAAAAAUGGAAUAAUCCUAUAAAUACUAAAUAUUCAUGUAUAUUAAAGAAAUUGGCCAGGUGUGGUGGCUCACACCUGUAAUACUAGCACUUUGGGAGGCCAAGGUAGGAGGAUCACUUAAGUCUAGGAGAUUCAAUCAAGAUCGGUCUUUCUGAUCUUGAUUAGAGAACUCUUAUAGAAGAAUUUUCACUGCAACCUCUGCCUCCCAGGUUCAAGCAUUCAUUUAAAAUUUUUUGCAGAUGGCAGAUUGUGGGGCUUCUCAGCCUCCAUAACCUUGUCAACCAAUUUCCAUAAUAAAUCACCUCUUAUAUAUCUAUAUCUGUUUGGUUCUUUCUGGAGACCCUGGACCAAUGCAAAUGGAUUAAUAAACUGUGGGCCAGGUGCAGCCCACAAAAAUUCAUUUAAAAUUGAAUAAUUUUACCAUAUUAAAACUCAGGAUUUCUGUUCCUCAAAAGACAUCCUCAUACUACAAUUUAUCUAAGAAACUCUGGAUAUAAAAUAUAUUUUUUAAGAAGAAAGAAGAGGCCGAGUGCGGUGACUCACACCUGUAAUCCCAGCACUUUGGGAGGCCAAGAGGGGCAGAUUACCUGAAGUCAGGAGUUCAAGACCAGCCUGGUCAACAUGGUGAAACCCCGCCUCUACUAAAAAUACAAAAAUUAGCUGGGCAUGGUGGUGCACGCCUGUAGUCUCAGCUACUUGGGAGGCUGAGGCAGGAGCGAUUAUUGCUUGAACCUGGGAGGCAGAGGUUGCAAUGAGCCGAGAUCAUGCCACUGCACUCCUGCCUGGGCUACAGAGUGAGACUUCAUCUUAAAAAAAAAAAAAAAAAAGAAGGAGAAGGAAGAAAACACAUGAUGAAACAGAAAAAAGUGGCCGGGCGCGGUGGCUCACGCCUGUAAUCCCAGCACUUUGGGAGGCCAAGGCAGGCAGAUCACAAGCUCAGGAGAUCGAGACCAUCCUGGCUAACAAGGUGAAAUCCCGUCCCUACUAGAAAUACAAAAAAUUAGCCAGGUAUGGUGGCGGACACCUGUAGUCCCAGCUACUCAGGAGGCUGAGGCAGGAGAAUGGCGUGAACCCAGGAGGUGGAGCUUGCAGUGAGCCAAGAUUGCGCCACUGCACUCCAGCCUGGACGACAGAGCGAGACUCUGUCUCAAAAAAAAAAAAAAAGAAAAAGAAAAGAAAAAGGAAAAAAAAGAAAAAAGUGGUUAUCAGUCUCAGUGUGGUGGCUCACACCUGUAAUCUCAGCUCUUUGGGAGGAGGCCGAGGUGGAAGUAUUACUUGGGCCCAGGAGUCUGAGACCAGCCUCGGCAACAAAGCGAGACCUCAUCUCUACUAAAAUUUUUUUAAAAGAUUAGUGGGGUGUUAGCUGGGCGUGGUGGCUCAUGCCUGUAAUCCCAGCACUUUGGGAGGCUGAGGUGGGUGGAUCAUAAGGUCAGGAGAUUGAGACCAUCUUGGCUAACACGGUGAAACCCCAUCUCUACUAAAAAUAAAAAAAAAUAAAAAAUAAAAAAUUAGCCAGGCAUGGUGGCGGGCACCUGUAGUCCCAGC